GGGCCCGCACAAGCGGUGGAGCAUGUGGCUUAAUUCGAGGCAACGCGAAGAACCUUACCUGGUCUUGACAUGCCCGUCAUAGUUUUCCGAAAGGAAUUCGUCAGUUCGGCUGGACGGUGCACAGGUGCUGCAUGGCUGUCGUCAGCUCGUGUCGUGAGAUGUUCGGUUAAGUCCGGCAACGAGCGCAACCCUCGUUCCUAGUUGCCAGCGGGUAAUGCCGGGGACUCUAGGAAGACAAACCUCGUGUAGAGGUGGGAAGGUGGGGACGACGUCAAGUCAGUAUGGCCCUUACGACCAGGGCUGCACACGUGCUACAAUGCCCAGCACAAUGGGAUGCAACACCGCGAGGUUGAGCAAAUCCACAAAACUUAUCUCAGUCCGGAUCGGAGUCUGCAACUCGACUCCGUG
Molecule: ribosomal RNA, 408 nt
Filed under: uncultured bacterium
Lineage: Bacteria
Description: bacterial SSU rRNA
Rfam family: Bacterial small subunit ribosomal RNA
Source: RNAcentral